UUUGACAACUGACCCGCACUUUGGUGCAUCUUUACCGGUAUGUAGGAGAUCCAUAUGUUAAACAUGCAUCGGUGUCCAGUAUAUUUGAUAAUGAACUAACCUCACAUACUUUCUGGUUGUUAUACAUUAUAGGUGUGAGAAAAACCAUGAACAUGACCUACCUGAACCAUAAACCAUUAGCCAACUAUGCUUUGAAGAAAAUUCCCAAG
RNAcentral lists this long non-coding RNA (209 nucleotides) under Hordeum vulgare. RNAcentral describes it as "long non-coding RNA (HVUL_LNC010679)". Lineage: Eukaryota; Viridiplantae; Streptophyta; Magnoliopsida; Poales; Poaceae. The record is from RNAcentral.